Drosophila simulans is the source of this 5327-nucleotide long non-coding RNA. RefSeq lists it as uncharacterized. The record is from RefSeq and is a predicted model, not a curated record. NCBI's taxonomy places the organism in Eukaryota, Metazoa, Arthropoda, Insecta, Diptera, Drosophilidae. The transcript has 3 exons.
GUUGGGUAUAAAUAGAGCCGCCUCAGUCCGGUCACGUCACUCUCAAAUGAAAAGUGUUUAAGUGAAGUCAAAGUGAAGCUGAAAAAAAAUCGAAAAACCAGUUAAAAUUAGUACAAAGAAAUUUUCUGUCUUGCAAUCUGCAAGCAAUAGCUUUAACCGAAAAUGGAAAAGUGUAAAAAUCGUGUCCCAGGAGGCGAGCAGCAGUACGAGUAUUGCAAAAUGCAGGGGCAAGGGCCCACGUAGUAUUUUUCCACGUCGGGCAUUUAAUGCUCUCGAGUUGGAAACAAAGAAACCGAAUGCAAACCCACUGGAAAAGAUGUGAUUAGUCAUCGAUUUUGCUGGUCAGCGUCGGGGAAUUUCGCAAAGCAGCAGGCAGUUUUCUCGAGUUUGGCUAGAAAGUGAACCACUAGGCAGUCUGAGGCAGUUAUCCAGGAUGUCAGGAUGUGUGCAGUACUCUCUGUGUCGAAUGGCGGUGGCCCUGACCUGCGGAUUUUGAAAGAUUGAAAUAGGAAGCCAGUUGGGCGUUGAAAGUUGAUAUCGAUAUCGAUCCGUGAAAAAUCGAUACCCUGCGCAAGCAUGGGGCGGCAUAUGGGUGCUGAAAACGCACUCGGCCCGAUCCCGAUUGCAGCGUUAUUCGAAAGCUGUGUCUGCGACCAUGACUGAGAUCAUAUGCGUACAUAUAUCUAAUGUCCGGGGUCGUGGGCCAGCCAGGGUGCUCGAUUCUGUCAGAUUGAUUGUGCGGAUUGUGUUAUAGGAACACUGGUGUAUCGACUUCUCUGCUCCACUAUGGGUGAAGGAUACCCUACCGAAAAGGCCUUCUGUCGCUUACUAUCAUCGAACAAGUUCCGUAAAGGGCAGACAUACGUACACGUGGCAGCAUAUUACGUUCAAUGACACAUCGUCUCUGGAUUAGUAGUUGAACCAACGAGCUCGAACAUACCCUGCCAGUUGGUUGUAAAUAUUAAUUUUGUUUUUAUAUUCAGUUGUAAAGUCAAUACGGAAGACAUUUCCACACCAACCAUGUGUCACUUAUGUUCUUAAAUACCAGAAACUGUUUAAAUUUUUGUUCUUAUACACUUCACCAAUUAAGAAUUACCUGUACUGAUGUAAGUGUACUUGUUGAAUCACAACAAAAAUAGAAAAAAUGAAUAACAAAAGAGCUCUAUAAUAGAAAAGCCACAGAAAAGUGAAUAAAAAAUUCAAAAACUCAUAAAAAUAAAUUUCGAAACAUCUGCUCGUGAUAUUUUUAUUUCAAGAAAAGAUCCGAUUUCAGUUAUACCAUCUAGCUUAAAUUUAGCGUUACGAGAAUAGUCCCUCGGAGGAAGGGCCUUUUAUCAAGAUGCCAAUAGCGUUCGUCCUAUACACAAAUUACUCAGACGUUAUGAAACCCAGUCGAAAAAUCGGAAAGUGUCUACCAUUGAGGAAAGGUCUCUUGAUCUCCUUUGAGCGCUAAAAGUUUGUAUUGGAACGAGAAUAUUAAGGUUUAAAAUCAGCUGAAAAGUACGUAUAUUCCGCAUUUAUUUUUCUCCACAUUUUUAGGAUCAGAACAUCAGAACUAUAUUUUUUGGAAAAAUCAACGGAAAUUAUUUUGUUUGGAGGUCCCAAAUUCUAUACACCUUCACGAUUAUUCUUGCACACGAAAAAAACAAUAAAUUAUUUUUAUUGAAUGACAAAAAAACACAUUUAUAACUUGAAAACUAUUCUAAGUACUUCAAUUUAAUUACCGUACCAACAUAUAUACACAUGCGACUCGUGUUGGACGAGAUUACAUUAAGAGAACUGUGAAAAAUAAAAAAAAAAAGGCUUACAAUUAGAAAAUGUAAGGUACAAUAUUCUUUAUAAGGAUUUUUUAAAAAUAAAUAAUAAUAACAAAAUGAACCACAAUAAUAUGAUACCUUCAACAAUAGAUAUGAUUUAUGUCGAUUUCCCCAAAUAUAAUCCGUCGAAAAGGCUUAGCCUCCUUGUAAAAUAAACUUAAAACCGUAAAGGUACGGUUUGAUAUUAAACUGUCCCCAAACAACAUCGCAUCUAAUAAUUAACUAAAUUAUUAAGCAAUUUAAAAGGUUGUGUUUUUAGGGUAUACUAGUUAACUUAAUAGGUAGGCAUUUGACAUACGGUAGUUUCCAUGGUAUGUAUUAUAUGAACUCUGCAAUAAAAUGUAUGAUUUAUCUCGAUAAUAACAAGUAUUAUCCGUCGAAAAUAUAUGAAUUCUACAAUAAUAGGUAGGAUUUAUGCCGGUUAACAAAAACAUUAUGCGUCUGAUUGAACAUUGAAGUAUAUGGUAUUUUUUAUUUGGUAUAUCUAAGCAACAUAAAAAUGACCCCAAAUUCUAUGAGCUCUUUAAAAAUAGGUUUUAUUUAUCCCGAUAACCCAAAUCAUUAUCCGUAGAAAAGGCUUGGCCUCUUGGUAAAAGAAACUUAAAAUCCAUAUAGGUAGGGUGUGUUAUAAAACUAUCCCAAUUCAAAAUCGCGUCACAUAAUAAACAAAAAGUUGAAGCAUCUUAAAAGGUCUGAUUUUUAGGACAUAUUCAUUUACUUAAUAGGUAGGCAUUGAACAUACGGUAUUUUUAUAUGGUAUAUCCUAGCAACUGCAACAUGACCCACAAUUAUAUAAACUGUUAAGUAAUGGGUAUGAUAUAUCUCGACUACCCCAAUGAUUAUCCUUCGAAAAGGCUUAGCCUCUUGGUAAAAUAAACUUAAUUUCCAUAUAGGUAGGAUGUCUUAUAAAACUGUCCCACUUCAAAAUCUCGUCACAUAAUAAGCAAAAAGUUUAAGCAUCUUAAAAGGUAUGAUUUUUAGGACAUAUUCAUUUACUCAAUAGGUAGGCAUUGAACAAUCGGUAUUUUAAUAUGGUAUAUAUAUAAACAACUGCAACAUGACUCCUACAAUUAUAUAAACUCUUUAACAAGAUAUUUUUUUAAUCCCGAUUACCGAUAUUCAUUAUCCUUCGAAAAGGCUUAGCCUCUUGGAAAAAUAAACUUAAAAUCCCUAUAGGUAGGGUGUGAUAUCAAACUAUCCAAAUUCAAAAUCUCGUCACAUAAUAAACAAAAAGUUUAAGCAUCCUAAAAGGUCUGAUUUUUAGGACAUAUUCAUUUACUCAAUAGGUAGGCAUUGAACAAUCGGUAUUUUAAUAUGGUAUAUAUAUAAACAACUGCAACAUGACUCCUACAAUUAUAUAAACUCUUUAACAAGAUAUUUUUUUAAUCCCGAUUACCGAUAUUCAUUAUCCUUCGAAAAGGCUUAGCCUCUUGGUAAAAUAAACUUAAAAUCCCUAUAGGUAGGGUGUGAUAUAAAACUUUCCCACUUCAAAAUCACGUCACAUAAUAAAAAAAAAGUUUAAGCAUCCUAAAAGGUCUGAUUCUUAGGGCAUAAUAAAUUACUUAAUAGGUAGGCACUGAACAUACGGUAUUUUUUAUGGACAUUUUAAUUUACUUAAAAGGUAGGCAUUGAACAUACGGUAUUUUUUAUAUGGCUUAUCUAAGCAACAUCAACAUGACCCACAAUUCUAUAAAGUCUUUAACAAUAGGUUUUAUUUACCCCGAUUAUCCCAAUCAUUACCCUUCAAAAAGGCUUAGCCUCUUGGUAAAAUAAACUUAUAAUCCCUAUAGGUAGGGUGUGUUAUGAAACUGUCCCAAUUCAAAAUAGAGUCUGGUAAUAAACAAAAGUUAAAGCAACGCGAAGGAUGGGAUUUUUAGGACAUACUAAAAUAAAUAAUAGGUAGGCAUUGAACAUACGGAAUUUGUAUAUGGUAUAUCUAAACAACUGCAACAUUACUCCCACAAUUAUAUGAACUCUUUAACAAGAUAUUUUAUUUAUCCCGAUUACCCCAAUGAUUAUCCUUCGAAAAGGCUUAGCCUCUUGGUAAAAUAAACUUAAUUUCCAUAUAGGUAGGAUGUCUUAUAAAACUGUCCCACUUCAAAAUCUCGUCACAUAAUAAGCAAAAAGUUUAAGCAUCUUAAAAGGUAUGAUUUUUAGGACAUAAUAAUUUACUUAAUAGGUAGGCAUUGAACAUACGGUAUUUUUUAUGGUUUAUCUAAGCAACAUCAACAUGACCCACAAUUCUAUGAAGUCCUUAACAAUAGGUUUUAUUUAUUCCGAUUAUCCCAAUCAUUACCCUUCGAAAAGGCUUAGCCUCUUGGUAAAAUAAUUUUAAAAUCCCUAUAGGUAGGGUGUGUUAUAAAACUGUCCCAAUUCAAAAUCGAGUCUGGUAAUAAACAAAAUUUAAAGCAACGCGAACGAAAGGAUUUUUAGGACAUACUAAAUUAUUUAAUAGGAAGGCAUUGAACAUACGGAAUUUUUAUAUGGUAUAUCUAAACAACUGCAACAUUACUCCCACAAUUAUAUGAACUCUUUAACAAGAUAUUUUAUUUAUCCCGAUUACCCCAAUGAUUAUCCUUCGAAAAGGCUUAGCCUCUUGGUAAAAUAAACUUAAUUUCCGAAUAGGUAGGAUGUCUUAUAAAACUGUCCCACUUCAAAAUCUCGUCACAUAAUAAGCAAAAAGUUUAAGCAUCUUAAAAGGUAUGAUUUUUAGGACAUAAUAAUUUACUUAAUAGGUAGGCAUUGAUUAUACGGUAUUUUUUAUGGUUUAUCUAAGCAACAUCAACAUGACCCACAAUUCUAUGAAGUCCUUAACAAUAGGUUUUAUUUAUCCCGAUUAUCCCAAUCAUUACCCUUCGAAAAGGCUUAGCCUCUUGGUAAAAUAAUUUUAAAAUCCCUAUAGGUAGGGUGUGUUAUAAAACUGUCCCAAUUCAAAAUCGAGUCUGGUAAUAAACAAAAUUUAAAGCAACGCGAACGAAAGGAUUUUUAGGACAUACUAAAAUAAAUAAUAGGUAGGCAUUGAACAUACGGAAUUUGUAUAUGGUAUAUCUAAACAACUGCAACAUUACUCCCACAAUUAUAUGAACUCUUUAACAAGAUAUUUUAUUUAUCCCGAUUACCCCAAUGAUUAUCCUUCGAAAAGGCUUAGCCUCUUGGUAAAAUAAACUUAAUUUCCAUAUAGGUAGGAUGUCUUAUAAAACUGUCCCACUUCAAAAUCGAGUCUGGUAAUAAACAAAAUUUAAAGCAACGCGAAGGAUAGGAUUUUUAGGACAUACUAAAUUAUUUAAUAGGAAGGCAUUGAACAUACGGAAUUUUUAUAUGGUAUAUCUAAACAACUGCAACAUUACUCCCACAAUUAUUUGAACUCUUUAACAAGAUAUUUUAUUUAUCCCGAUUACCCCAAUGAUUAUCCUUUGAAAAGGCUUAGCCUCUUGGUAAAAUAAACUUAAUUUCCAUAUAGGUAGGAUGUCUUAUAAAACUGUCCCUCUUCAAAAUCUCGUCACAUAAUAA